GAUGAACGCCGGCGGCGUGCCUAAUACAUGCAAGUCGAGCGAACAGACGAGGAGCUUGCUCCUCUGACGUUAGCGGCGGACGGGUGAGUAACACGUGGAUAACCUACCUAUAAGACUGGGAUAACUUCGGGAAACCGGAGCUAAUACCGGAUAAUAUAUUGAACCGCAUGGUUCAAUAGUGAAAGACGGUUUUGCUGUCACUUAUAGAUGGAUCCGCGCCGCAUUAGCUAGUUGGUAAGGUAACGGCUUACCAAGGCAACGAUGCGUAGCCGACCUGAGAGGGUGAUCGGCCACACUGGAACUGAGACACGGUCCAGACUCCUACGGGAGGCAGCAGUAGGGAAUCUUCCGCAAUGGGCGAAAGCCUGACGGAGCAACGCCGCGUGAGUGAUGAAGGUCUUCGGAUCGUAAAACUCUGUUAUUAGGGAAGAACAAAUGUGUAAGUAACUAUGCGCGUCUUGACGGUACCUAAUCAGAAAGCCACGGCUAACUACGUG
This 497-nucleotide ribosomal RNA is filed under the name uncultured bacterium. RNAcentral's name for it is "partial 16S ribosomal RNA". It matches the Rfam family "Bacterial small subunit ribosomal RNA", at positions 28 to 507 of the family's 1533-position model. The record is from RNAcentral.